GGCCUGCGCGGAAGAUGUAACGGGGCUAAACCAUGCACCGAAGCUGCGGCAGCGAACGUAUCACCCAAGACAACUUUGCGGAGUUGACGAUUGACGGAGCGAAGCGACGUCAAAGCGUUCAUUAAAGUCGAGUUGGCUUAGGGAUACGUUCGUUGGGUAGGGGAGCGUUCUGUAAGCCUGUGAAGGUGGCCUGUGAGGGUUGCUGG
This 206-nucleotide ribosomal RNA is filed under the name Salmonella enterica subsp. enterica serovar Muenchen. RNAcentral's name for it is "partial 23S ribosomal RNA". It matches the Rfam family "Bacterial large subunit ribosomal RNA", at positions 1157 to 1277 of the family's 2925-position model. Lineage: Bacteria; Pseudomonadati; Pseudomonadota; Gammaproteobacteria; Enterobacterales; Enterobacteriaceae. The record is from RNAcentral.